UCUACUUGGAUAACUGUGGCAAUUCUAGAGCUAAUACAUGCACGAAAGCUCGGACCCUCGCGGAAAGAGCGCAUUUAUUAGACCAAAACCAAUCGGGCGCUUCGGCGCUUGGUUYUUGGUGACUCUGAAUAACUUAGUUGAUCGCACAGUCUUAGUACUGGCGACGUAUCUUUCAAAUGUCUGCCUUAUCAACUUUCGAUGGUAGGUUAUACGCCUACCAUGGUGAUAACGGGUAACGGAGAAUUAGGGUUCGACUCCGGAGAGGGAGCCUGAGAAACGGCUACCACAUCCAAGGAAGGCAGCAGGCGCGCAAAUUACCCAAUCUCAGAACGAGGAGGUAGUGACGAAAAAUAACAAAACAGUCCACUUUGUGGCCUGUUAUCGGAAUGGGUACAAUUUAAAUCUUUUAACGAGGAUCUAUUAGAGGGCAAGUCUGGUGCCAGCAGCCGCGGUAAUUCCAGCUCUAAUAGCGUAUAUUAAAGUUGUUGUGGUUAAAACGCCCGUAGUUGGUUUUUCGGUCUCGAAGCUCGGUAGCUCGUAUGGGCUUAACUGAGUCUUCCGGCCUAAAUUUCUUGUACUCUCCCGAUGCUCUUUAUUGAGUGUCUCGAGAUGCUAGAACGUUUACUUUGAAAAAAUUAGAGUGCUAAAAGCAGGCUAUACGCUUGAAUAAAGUGCAUGGAAUAAUGGAAUAGGACUUUAGUUUUAUUUUGUUGGUUUUCGAAAUUAAAGUAAUGAUUAAGAGGAACAGACGGGGGCAUUCGUA
This 763-nucleotide ribosomal RNA is filed under the name Nematoda environmental sample. RNAcentral describes it as "SSU rRNA". It matches the Rfam family "Eukaryotic small subunit ribosomal RNA", at positions 135 to 907 of the family's 1831-position model. Lineage: Eukaryota; Metazoa; Nematoda. The record is from RNAcentral.